Molecule: ribosomal RNA, 400 nt
Filed under: Klebsiella pneumoniae
Lineage: Bacteria; Pseudomonadati; Pseudomonadota; Gammaproteobacteria; Enterobacterales; Enterobacteriaceae
Description: bacterial SSU rRNA
Rfam family: Bacterial small subunit ribosomal RNA
Source: RNAcentral
GUCUGUCAAGUCGGAUGUGAAAUCCCCGGGCUCAACCUGGGAACUGCAUUCGAAACUGGCAGGCUAGAGUCUUGUAGAGGGGGGUAGAAUUCCAGGUGUAGCGGUGAAAUGCGUAGAGAUCUGGAGGAAUACCGGUGGCGAAGGCGGCCCCCUGGACAAAGACUGACGCUCAGGUGCGAAAGCGUGGGGAGCAAACAGGAUUAGAUACCCUGGUAGUCCACGCCGUAAACGAUGUCGAUUUGGAGGUUGUGCCCUUGAGGCGUGGCUUCCGGAGCUAACGCGUUAAAUCGACCGCCUGGGGAGUACGGCCGCAAGGUUAAAACUCAAAUGAAUUGACGGGGGCCCGCACAAGCGGUGGAGCAUGUGGUUUAAUUCGAUGCAACGCGAAGAACCUUACCUG